Molecule: ribosomal RNA, 433 nt
Filed under: uncultured bacterium
Lineage: Bacteria
Description: partial 16S ribosomal RNA
Rfam family: Bacterial small subunit ribosomal RNA
Source: RNAcentral
AACGAACGCUGGCGGCGUGCCUAACACAUGCAAGUCGAACGGUGAGGUCGUGCAUAGGUGCGCACGGCGGCGGAAGGCCGGGGGAGCUGCACUUGGGUUCGGUAUAACAGUGAGAAAUUGCUGCUAAUACCGGAGGGGGUCUUCGGACAAAAGAUUUAUCGCCCAGGGAUGAGCGCUGGUAGGAUUCGUUGGUUGGGGGGGUAAUUGCCGACCAAGGGGACGAUGCUUGGCUGGUCUGAGAGGAUGGUCCGGUGGACUGGGACUGAGACACGGGCCCGUCCCGUACGGAAGGGAGCAGUGGGUAAUACUGUACACUGGGCGCUAGUCUGACAACGCAACGUCGCGGGAGAGAUGCAGGGCUUAGGGUUGUAAAGCUCUUUUACCCGGGAUGAUAAUGACAGUACCGGGAGAAUAAGCUCCGGCUAACUCCGUG